Long non-coding RNA from Schistocerca cancellata (South American locust), 1122 nucleotides. RefSeq lists it as uncharacterized. NCBI's taxonomy places the organism in Eukaryota, Metazoa, Arthropoda, Insecta, Orthoptera, Acrididae. The transcript is spliced from 4 exons. The record is from RefSeq and is a predicted model, not a curated record.
CGUGACCGCCGGCCCGCCGCGCCGCACGCAGAAUCUGUGUCGGCUCGCAGGAUAUUGCAUGGGAUGUUACGGCACGUUCGUACACAACGUACCAGUAGCGAUUGCUCACAAAAUUGCAGAAGACUGGGGAACUAUUUGAACAGAUCUGGGAUCUAUGUAAGUCGGUGGACAAUAUCAAUAACCUUAUGAUACCUGGAGAAAUGGGUGGUGAUUUCGUCACACCCGCGGUUAAAAUCAUCAACAACAACCGACUGCCCAGAGGUUACAUCCAGAUGCAGCUUCCUAACCAGCUCCUUCAGGACCUACAUUGGACAACACGGCGGCAGUUGCCAACCGCUCGUUAGCAGUUGUUCGGAGCACCCGGCAGAAGAGCGGAUGGAGUUGUCAGAACAGGAAUCCUCCGGCUUCUCCGCCACGAGUAACAAGCGGCAAAGUGAGAUCACAGCUCGCCUCACGUGUUGCAGAGUGGAAUCACAGGACAUCAAAUAUUUUCCAGUUCUUCUUCCUGAUUACCAAAGAAGGGAACACUCUUCCUGGCCUCCCUAUUUGAGGCAUUUCUAAAGUGGUGCGCAGAGGAAACUGUACUAAAUGUAUGAGGAUCAAUAAAUUCGACUUCUGAAGAGGAACUGAUUAUGCCUAAAGAAUAAUUAUUUAUCUCAACGUGAAUAUCGAUAUGAUCACUUGCAAGUGCAGCCUACGUAUAACAUUUUCCCUCGCCACCGGUGCUGUAGCUCUGCAGAAAUCGAUAGUGAUUCAUGGAAAAAGUGCUUCAUUAAUAAAAAAUAUAUGUGUCAGAAAAAUGUCUAACAAAAGCAUGCCAUCUUCCAAUAAUUAUCAUAUCAAGAACACAUGGCCAAUUUUUUAGAGGUCUAGAGUUACAUGUAGUUUUUAAAUUGCUAUUGUUUCCGCAAAUACUUCGUGGAACGGUGUUCAUGAGGCAGGUUGCGAGUUGUCAUCAGAAGUGCUUCUCAAAAGGCAAAUAACUUUUGUUCCCCGCUGGAAUCCAACAGAUAACCAGUAACAGAUAAUUCAUUCGAUAUUCAAUUUCUACCUGCGGUGUCCUUGCAAUUUCUUAAUAUAGAGCGAAGAAUUAUUGAAUUAUUAACAGUCUUCAAGUAACAA